RNAcentral lists this ribosomal RNA (771 nucleotides) under uncultured bacterium. RNAcentral's name for it is "bacterial SSU rRNA". It matches the Rfam family "Bacterial small subunit ribosomal RNA", at positions 8 to 796 of the family's 1533-position model. The record is from RNAcentral.
AGAGUUUGAUCCUGGCUCAGAAUGAACGGCGGCGUGGAUUAGGCAUGCAAGUCGAACGGGCCUGGUAGCAAUAUCAGGUCAGUGGCGUAAGGGUGAGUAAGGCGACGGAACCAACCCCAUGGUUGGGCAUAGCCGCGGGAAACUGCGGGUAAUUCCCAGCGAUGUUCGUACCGGGCAUCCGGUAUGAACCAAAGUUUUGGCGCCGUGGGACGGGCCGUCGUGGUAUUAGGUCGUUGGCGGGGUAAUGGCCCACCAAGCCUCUGAUGCCUACCGGGCGUGCGAGCGUGGCCCGGCACACUGGGACUGAGACACUGCCCAGACUCCUACGGGAGGCUGCAGUCGAGAAUCUUCGGCAAUGGGCGCAAGCCUGACCGAGCGACGCCGCGUGGAGGAUGAAGGCCUUCGGGUUGUAAACUCCUGUCGAGGGGGGGGAAGGCGCAAGCUUGACCUAUCCCUGGAGGAAGCACGGGCUAAGUUCGUGCCAGCAGCCGCGGUAAGACGAACCGUGCGAACGUUAUUCGGAAUCACUGGGCUUAAAGCGCGUGUAGGCGGAUGGGGACGUCGGUAGCUGAAAUCCCCCGGCUCAACCGGGGAACGGGCGCCGAAACGCCCCGUCUGGAGGGACGUAGGGGGACCUGGAACUUCCGGUGGAGCGGUGAAAUGCGUUGAGAUCGGAAGGAACGCCCGUGGCGAAAGCGAGGUCCUGGACGUUUUCUGACGCUGAGACGCGAAAGCUAGGGUAGCGAACGGGAUUAGAUACCCCCGUAGUCC